CCCGCCGAAACCGGGAUAGGGUGAGGGCGGCGCGCGGCGUUCCCGCUCUCCCGGGGCAGCGGGCGGGACGCUCUGCAGCCGCAGCCCCGCGUGCCCUCGCCCACCACAGCGCGGGGCGGAUGGGGGCUGUCCGCCUCCACGAUCCUUUUAGCACUUUUCACAGAGACGCGGCCGCGUUCCGCAGUGGCGAAUCUGCGGCGGAGGGCGGCGUCGUGCGGCUCCUGUUGGUGCCUCGCGCCCGCGCCAUUUUGCGCCCUGUUCUCCUGAGGCGGAGCUGUGAGGGCAGCGAGGCGGCGGCGGUGGCGGAGCUGCGCCGCGGGUCCGGGCCCGAGUAAAUCCCGUAAAUAAAUCCCACAACGGAGCGAGAUAAAGGCAGCGGGGCUGCCUGGGUUGUUCGUGGUGACUGAGAAUGGCGGCUGUGAGAGGAGAGAUUAAGGAGAGGUGUGAAGUCAGCCCGGCCGUGGCCAACAGGAGGGCCGAAUCAUGGCGGUGAUGGGCGCGGCGCAGGGCAGGGGGUGCUGCGAGGGGCCCUGAGGUGGAGGCAGAGCCUGCAGCACUAGGGCAUCUGUUACCACGGGAGCUGCCAGUGAGUGAGGCUUCAGGUGAAAUAAAGGUUGGGGACUGAAAAACGGUCCUAUGGCUGAAAAAUAAAGAUCCCUGUGCCUGAAAUGGACGGCUCUGGUGGACCUGGAGAACAUGGCAUCCAGAGGAGAAACAAACUGUGACUGCCCUUGGAAAGACACCAGAAAUAGUAUUUUUUAAACACAAAUAGACAGUGCCUAUAUAACCCCAGAGGGUGAUAGAAGAGGAAAAGAAGAAACUGGGUGUGAUGCUGAGCUGCUUCAGUGGGCCCAUUCCUUCUAGGUGCCUACAGCCUGGCCUGCUUUUUUUUGCUCUUAAGUAAGCACGCUUACAUGGACACAUAGAGAGCUGAGCUCCGCCCUGGCUGCUCACAGUGUGCUCUCUGCAGCCACAAUGGAUAUUUGUGGUAUUACAGCAGAAAAAUCUGGCUGCCAUUCCACAACAGAAGGAAUAUAACAAUUGAAAAGAUCCUCCAACAGCCAAAUCCUUUUGGUCUCCAGCUUCACCUGGGCAGAACAUUUCUAAGGAAAAUAUAAGAAAAUACUCUCAAGACAGACACACUGAAGCUCACAAACUCCGUUUUGUUAUUUUUAUUGUUGUACUGCUAUUUACUUUGGUGUAAGGGGAACACGUGGCUAUGACAUUGCUGCAACUCUAAGAACCAGAAAGAAGGCCGCCAUCCCCACCACCACCAAUGCCAAAUCCACCUCCAAGACCAGGAGCUGCGCCGCUGCCAAAGCCACCUCCAAAAAUGAUGCCUGAACCGCUCCCAAAACCGCUUCCGAAACCUCCACCAAAACCACUGCCUGAGCCGCUUCCAUAACCACCUCCUGAGCCACUAGCGAAGCCUCCGCCAAAGCCGCUGCCUACGCUGCUCCCAAAGCCCCCGCUGAAGCCAGAGCCAGAGCCAAGCACAGAAGCAGCACCGAACCCUCCGGCGGAUCC
Gallus gallus (chicken) is the source of this 1527-nucleotide long non-coding RNA. RefSeq lists it as uncharacterized. The transcript is spliced from 3 exons. The record is from RefSeq and is a predicted model, not a curated record. NCBI's taxonomy places the organism in Eukaryota, Metazoa, Chordata, Aves, Galliformes, Phasianidae.